GAACCGGACAAACGUUUAUUUCGGAAUCAUUGGGCUUAAAGGGUGCGUAGGCGGCUUUGUAGGUGGGGUGUGAAAGCCCUCGGCUCAACCGAGGAAUUGCGCCCCAAACCCCAAGGCUUGAGGGAGACAGAGGUAAGCGGAACUGAUGGUGGAGCGGUGAAAUGCGUUGAUAUCAUCAGGAACACCAGUGGCGAAAGCGGCUUACUGGGUCUCUUCUGACGCUGAGGCACGAAAGCUAGGGUAGCGAACGGGAUUAGAUACCCCGGGUAGUCCUAGCUGUAAACGAUGAGCACUUAGCCGGGGAUCCCCCCCAUAGGUUCCCCGGCUGUAGCGAAAGUGUUAAGUGCUCCGCCUGGGGAGUAUGGUCGCAAGGCUG
Molecule: ribosomal RNA, 376 nt
Filed under: uncultured organism
Description: partial 16S ribosomal RNA
Rfam family: Bacterial small subunit ribosomal RNA
Source: RNAcentral